Molecule: ribosomal RNA, 830 nt
Filed under: uncultured archaeon
Lineage: Archaea
Description: bacterial SSU rRNA
Rfam family: Archaeal small subunit ribosomal RNA
Source: RNAcentral
UUCCGGUUGAUCCUGCCGGACCUGACUGCUAUCGGAUUGGUACUAAGCCAUGCGAGUCGUUGUAGCAAUACAAGGCGGACGGCUCAGUAACACGUAGUCAACCUAACCUAUGGACGUGGAUAACCUCGGGAAACUGAGAAUAAACCGCGAUAGAUCAUAAUGCCUGGAACGGCUUAUGGUUCAAACAAUUUAUUGCCGUAGGAUGGGACUGCGGCCUAUCAGCUUGUUGGUGAGGUAAUGGCCCACCAAGGCUAUAACAGGUACGGGCUCUGAGAGGAGAAGCCCGGAGAUGGGUACUGAGACACGGACCCAGGCCCUAUGGGGCGCAGCAGGCGAGAAACCUUAGCAAUGUGCGAAAGCACGACUAGGUUAAUCCGAGUGGUUCCUGCUAAAGGAACCUUUUGUCAGUCGUAAAACCACAGACGAAUAAGGGGUGGGCAAGUCUGGUGUCAGCCGCCGCGGUAAUACCAGCACCUCGAGUGGUCAGGAGGUUUAUUGGGCCUAAAGCAUCCGUAGCCGGCUUUGCAAGUCUCCGGUUAAAUCCAGCUGCUCAACAGAUGGGCUGCCGGAGAUACUACACAGCUAGGGAGCGGGAGAGGCAGACGGUAUUCGGUGGGUAGGGGUAAAAUCCACUGAUCCAUCGAGGACCACCAGUGGCGAAAGCGGUCUGCCAGAACGCGUUCGACGGUGAGGGAUGAAAGCUGGGGGAGCAAACCGGAUUAGAUACCCGGGUAGUCCCAGCCGUAAACGAUGCAAACUCGGUGAUGCAUUGGCUUAUGGCCAAUGCAGUGCCGCAGGAAGCCGUUAAGUUUGCCGCCUGGGAAGUACGG